UAUGUGAUCGUCUCUCGCAUAUCAAUAAGCGGAGGAAAAGAAACUAACAAGGAUUCCCCUAGUAACGGCGAGUGAAGCGGGAAGAGCUCAAAUUUGAAAUCUUAAAGGGUUUCCCUUUACGAAUUGUAGUUUAAAGAAGUGUUUUCUGUUGAGGUUUUGGCUAAAAGUUCUUUGGAAUAGGACAUCAUAGAAGGGUGAGAAUCCCGUAUUUGACCUUUACUUUCAACUUUGUGAUACACUUUCAAAGAGUCGGAUUGUUUGGGAAUGCAGUCCAAAAUGGGUGGUAAAUUUCAUCUAAAGCUAAAUGUUGGCGAGAGACCGAUAGCGAACAAGUACCGUGAGGGAAAGAUGAGAAGAACUUUGAAAAGAGAGUUAAGACAGUACGUGAAAUUGUCAAAAGGGAAGCGUUUGACACCAGUGUUGUUUUUCUGAAAAUCAAUUAAAGAACUGUUUAUGCUAAGUUGUUUAGACUUUAUCAGCUAACUGUUUAGUUUUGAGCUUUUCUUUAAUGCACUUUUCAGUUAACAAGUCAACAUCAAUUUCUUUUGCUGUAAAAAAGCUUGAGGAAGGUGGCUUGAGAUUCGUCUUAAGUGUUUAUAGCCUCUUGCCUAUGCAGUCGGAGAGAUUGAGGUCUGCAGCGUAGAUCCUUCGGGGCUAAAUGCAUUUGUGCUAAGUUAUAGCAUUUUAUAGACAACUUGUUGACUAUGAUUUGUCUUGUAGCUUACUCGCUUAUGUUACUUUUACCUACGCUUAGGAUGUUGAGUCAUCACACAUCUCU
Molecule: ribosomal RNA, 778 nt
Filed under: uncultured Neocallimastigales
Lineage: Eukaryota; Fungi; Neocallimastigomycota; Neocallimastigomycetes; Neocallimastigales
Description: partial large subunit ribosomal RNA
Rfam family: Eukaryotic large subunit ribosomal RNA
Source: RNAcentral